This 581-nucleotide ribosomal RNA is filed under the name Hexacentrus sp. RNAcentral describes it as "partial large subunit ribosomal RNA". The stretch from base 192 to 519 matches the Rfam family "Bacterial large subunit ribosomal RNA", at positions 2085 to 2636 of the family's 2925-position model. The record is from RNAcentral. Lineage: Eukaryota; Metazoa; Arthropoda; Insecta; Orthoptera; Tettigoniidae.
UAGGUCGGAUUUAUAUCGGACGACCUGUUACUGAAAAAAUUGAAGGUUCGGGAAAAGGGACCGUGCUGAAAGAAAAUCAUUAGUCUUUUAAUUGAAGGCCGGAUGAAUGGUUUGACGAGAUAUUAGCUGUCUCAUUAUAAUUGGAGAAUUUAACUUUUAAGGAAAAGGCUUAAAUUUUAGUGGAGGACGAGAAGACCCUAUAGAGCUUUAUAUAGAAUAUAGUGAAAUAAAUUUUGGUUGAUUUAUUAUAUUAUGUUAUAUAUUGUGUUGGGGUGACAUAAAGAUAUAAGUAACUCUUUAUUUUUAGAACAUAAAUUUAUGGUAUUUUGAUCCAGUAAUACUGAUUAUAAGAAUAAGUUACCUUAGGGAUAACAGCGUAAUUAUUUUUGAGAGUUCUUAUCAAUAAAAAAGAUUGCGACCUCGAUGUUGGAUUAAGGAGUAUUACUAGGUGUAGUCGUUAGUAAAUAAGUCUGUUCGACUUUCAAAUCCUUACGUGAUCUGAGAUCAGACCGGUCCGUCGCCUGUUUAUAAAAAACAAUUUUUUUUAUAAAAGGGCGAACCGGCUAAUUUUAAAAAAAAAU